This is a long non-coding RNA of Etheostoma spectabile (orangethroat darter), 185 nucleotides long. RefSeq lists it as uncharacterized. NCBI's taxonomy places the organism in Eukaryota, Metazoa, Chordata, Actinopteri, Perciformes, Percidae. The record is from RefSeq and is a predicted model, not a curated record. The transcript has 4 exons.
GUUCAAACCCCCCCACCCUUGUCAUGUCACAAGCCCACUCUUGAAUUAACAGCCCCCGUUCUUUCCUCCACAUCCCUCCUUUUAAACCGUACCUUGAGAUGUGUUAAAGAGGCUGCCUUCACAACAUAAUGACAAAGAAAACAGAGGACUAGAACCCCCCUGUGAUGUGGUCAGGCGCACACAUA